Molecule: ribosomal RNA, 406 nt
Filed under: uncultured bacterium
Lineage: Bacteria
Description: partial 16S ribosomal RNA
Rfam family: Bacterial small subunit ribosomal RNA
Source: RNAcentral
AUUGAACGCUGGCGGCAGGCCUAACACAUGCAAGUCGAGCGCGCGGCGGACGGGUGAGUAAUGUCUGGGAAACUGCCUGAUGGAGGGGGCUAACUCCUGGAAACGGUAGCUCAUACCGCAUACCCUCAGAUGUGCCCCGAUGGGAUUAGCUAGUAGGUGGGGUAACGGCUCACCUAGGCGACGAUCCCCAGCUGGUCUGAGAGGAUGACCAGCCACACUGGAACUGGGACACGGCCCAGACUCCUACGGUAGGCAGCAGUGGGGAAUAUUGCACAAUGGGCGCAAGCCUGAUGCAGCCAUGCCGCGUGUGUGAAGAAGGCCUUCGGGUUGUAAAGCACUUUCAGCGGGGAGGCGUUACCCGCAGAAGAAGCACCGGCUAACUCCGUGCCAGCAGCCGCGGUAAUAC